UACGUAGGGGGCGAGCGUUGUCCGGAAUUAUUGGGCGUAAAGAGCGUGUAGGCGGCCAUGUAGGUCCGUUGUGAAAACUCGAGGCUCAACCUCGAGACGCCGAUGGAAACCAUGUGGCUAGAGUCCGGAAGAGGAGAGUGGAAUUCCUGGUGUAGCGGUGAAAUGCGCAGAUAUCAGGAAGAACACCCGUGGCUAAGGCGGCUCUCUAGUACGGUACUGACGCUGAGACGCGAAAGCGUGGGGAGCGAACAGG
This 253-nucleotide ribosomal RNA is filed under the name uncultured bacterium. Its description in RNAcentral is "partial 16S ribosomal RNA". It matches the Rfam family "Bacterial small subunit ribosomal RNA", at positions 524 to 776 of the family's 1533-position model. The record is from RNAcentral.